This 976-nucleotide long non-coding RNA is filed under the name Salmo salar (Atlantic salmon). RNAcentral describes it as "lncRNA (ENSSSAG00000109502.1)". The record is from RNAcentral. Lineage: Eukaryota; Metazoa; Chordata; Actinopteri; Salmoniformes; Salmonidae.
AUAACAACAUACUGCAGGAGGAGAGAGAGGCAGUGUGUUGAUAUGCUGUUUGUAUAAUAACAAUAUACUGCAGGAGGAGAGAGAGGCAGUGUGUUGAUAUGCUGUUUGUAUAAUAACAACAUACUGCAGGAGGAGAGAGAGGCAGUGUGUUGAUAUGCUGUUUGUAUAAUAACAACAUACUGCAGGAGGGGAGAGAGAGGCAGUGUGUUGAUAUGCUGUUUGUAUAAUAACAACAUACUGCAGGAGGAGAGAGAGGCAGUGUGUUGAUAUGCUGUUUGUAUAAUAACAACAUACUGCAGGAGAGAGAGAGGCAGUGUGUUGAUAUGCUGUUUGUAUAAUAACAACAUACUGCAGGAGGAGAGAGGCAGUGUGUUGAUAUGCUGUUUGUAUAAUAACAACAUACUGCAGGAGGAGAGAGAGAGGCAGUGUGUUGAUAUGCUGUUUGUAUAAUAACAAUAUACUGCAGGAGGAGAGAGAGAGGCAGUGUGUUGAUAUGCUGUUUGUAUAAUAACAACAUACUGCAGGAGGAGAGAGAGGCAGUGUGUUGAUAUGCUGUUUGUAUAAUAACAACAUACUGCAGGAGGGAGGCAGUGUGUUGAUAUGCUGUUUGUAUAAUAACAACAUACUGCAGGAGAGAGAGAGAGGCAGUGUGUUGAUAUGCUGUUUGUAUAAUAACAUACUGCAGGAGGAGAGAGAGGCAGUGUGUUGAUAUGCUGUUUGUAUAAUAACAACAUACUGCAGGAGGAGAGAGAGGCAGUGUGUUGAUAUGCUGUUUGUAUAAUAACAACAUACUGCAGGAGGAGAGAGAGGCAGUGUGUUGAUAUGCUGUUUGUAUAAUAACAACAUACUGCAGGAGGAGAGAGAGAGGCAGUGUGUUGAUAUGCUGUUUGUAUAAUAACAACAUACUGCAGGAGGAGAGAGAGGCAGUGUGUUGAUAUGCUGUUUGUAUAAUAACAACAUACUGCAGGAGGAGAGA